AUCGGGGCGAGGAGCAAUCCUUGCCGCCGGCGACCGGCGCACGGGUGAGUAACACGUAUGCAACCUGCCCGUCUCAGGGGGAUAAUCGUCGGAAACGGCGUCUAAUACCCCGUAUGAAGCUGGACGGCAUCGUCUGGUUUUGAAAGAAUAUCGGAGACGGAUGGGCAUGCGGCGCAUUAGCUGGUUGGCGGGGUAACGGCCCACCAAGGCGACGAUGCGUAGGGGUUCUGAGAGGAAGGUCCCCCACACUGGUACUGAGACACGGACCAGACUCCUACGGGAGGCAGCAGUGAGGAAUAUUGGUCAAUGGGCGAGAGCCUGAACCAGCCAAGUCGCGUGAGGGAGUACUGCCCUAUGGGUUGUAGACCUCUUUUGUCGGGGAGCAAAAGCCGGACGUGUCCGGCUGUGAGAGUACCCGAAGAAAAAGCAUCGGCUAACUCCGUGCCAGCAGCCGCGGUAAUACGGAGGAUGCGAGCGUUAUCCGGAUUUAUUGGGUUUAAAGGGUGCGCAGGCGGAUUUUUAAGUCAGCGGUCAAAUCGUGGGGCUCAACCCCAUCCAGCCGUUGAAACUGGGGAUCUAGAGUGUGCGAGAGGUAUGCGGAAUGCGUGGUGUAGCGGUGAAAUGCAUAGAUAUCACGCAGAACCCCGAUUGCGAAGGCAGCAUACCGGUGCACAACUGACGCUCAGGCACGAAAGC
This 696-nucleotide ribosomal RNA is filed under the name uncultured bacterium. RNAcentral's name for it is "bacterial SSU rRNA". It matches the Rfam family "Bacterial small subunit ribosomal RNA", at positions 67 to 760 of the family's 1533-position model. The record is from RNAcentral.